UACGUAGGGCGCAAGCGUUGUCCGGAAUUACUGGGCGUAAAGCGCGCGUAGGCGGCUUUGUAAGUUAGAGGUGAAAGCCCGGAGCUCAACUCCGGAACUGCCUUUAAAACUGCAUCGCUUGAAUCAUGGAGAGGUGAGUGGAAUUCCGAGUGUAGAGGUGAAAUUCGUAGAUAUUCGGAGGAACACCAGCGGCGAAGGCGGCGACCUGGACAGUUACUGACACUCAACUGCGAAAGCGUGGGGAGCAAACAGG
Molecule: ribosomal RNA, 253 nt
Filed under: uncultured bacterium
Lineage: Bacteria
Description: partial 16S ribosomal RNA
Rfam family: Bacterial small subunit ribosomal RNA
Source: RNAcentral